Molecule: ribosomal RNA, 443 nt
Filed under: uncultured bacterium
Lineage: Bacteria
Description: partial 16S ribosomal RNA
Rfam family: Bacterial small subunit ribosomal RNA
Source: RNAcentral
CCUACGGGAGGCAGCAGUGGGGAAUAUUGGGCAAUGGGCGCAAGCCUGACCCAGCAACGCCGCGUGAAGGAAGAAGGCUUUCGGGUUGUAAACUUCUUUUCUCAGGGACGAAGCAAGUGACGGUACCUGAGGAAUAAGCCACGGCUAACUACGUGCCAGCAGCCGCGGUAAUACGGAGGUGGCAAGCUUUAUCCGGAUUUAUUGGGUGUAAGGGGCGUGUAGGCGGGAAAGUAAGUCAGAUGUGAAAACCAUGGGCUCAACCUGUGGCCUGCAUUUGAAACUGGUUUUCUUGAGUACUGGAGAGGCGGACGGAAUUCCUAGUGUAGCGGUGAAAUGCUUAGAUAUCAGGAGGAACACCAGUGGCGAAGGCGGUCCGCUGGACAGCAACUGACGCUGAGGCGCGAAAGCGUGGGGAGCAAACAGGAUUAGAUACCCCGGUAGUC